AUUGAACGCUAGCGGGAUGCUUUACACAUGCAAGUCGAACGGCAGCGCGGACUUCGGUCUGGCGGCGAGUGGCGAACGGGUGAGUAAUGUAUCGGAACGUGCCCAGUAGUGGGGGAUAACUACGCGAAAGCGUAGCUAAUACCGCAUACGCCCUACGGGGGACAGCAGGGGAUCGUAAGACCUUGCACUAUUGGAGCGGCCGAUAUCGGAUUAGCUAGUUGGUGAGGUAACGGCUCACCAAGGCGACGAUCCGUAGCUGGUUUGAGAGGACGACCAGCCACACUGGGACUGAGACACGGCCCAGACUCCUACGGGAGGCAGCAGUGGGGAAUUUUGGACAAUGGGGGCAACCCUGAUCCAGCCACCCCGCGUGUGCGAUGAAGGCCUUCGGGUUGUAAAGCACUUUUGGCAGGAAAGAAACGUCGCGGGCUAAUACCCCGUGGAACUGACGGUACCUGCAGAAUAAGCACCGGCUAACUACGUG
This 484-nucleotide ribosomal RNA is filed under the name uncultured bacterium. Its description in RNAcentral is "partial 16S ribosomal RNA". It matches the Rfam family "Bacterial small subunit ribosomal RNA", at positions 30 to 507 of the family's 1533-position model. The record is from RNAcentral.